CCCUGAGUGGUACAAAUAGUUAACACAUUUGGCUACUAACCAAAAGGUUGGAGGUUCAAGUCCACUCAAAGGCA
This 74-nucleotide transfer RNA is filed under the name Loxodonta africana (African savanna elephant). It matches the Rfam family "tRNA". Rfam says of the family: Transfer RNA (tRNA) molecules are approximately 80 nucleotides in length. Their secondary structure includes four short double-helical elements and three loops (D, anti-codon, and T loops). Lineage: Eukaryota; Metazoa; Chordata; Mammalia; Proboscidea; Elephantidae. The record is from Rfam by way of RNAcentral.